Molecule: ribosomal RNA, 253 nt
Filed under: uncultured bacterium
Lineage: Bacteria
Description: partial 16S ribosomal RNA
Rfam family: Bacterial small subunit ribosomal RNA
Source: RNAcentral
UACGUAGGGUGCAAGCGUUGUCCGGAAUUAUUGGGCGUAAAGAGCUCGUAGGCGGUUAGUCGCGUCUGCUGUGAAAUUUCGGGGCUCAACCCCGAACUUGCAGUGGGUACGGGCAGACUAGAGUGUGGUAGGGGAGACUGGAAUUCCUGGUGUAGCGGUGAAAUGCGCAGAUAUCAGGAGGAACACCGAUGGCGAAGGCAGGUCUCUGGGCCACUACUGACGCUGAGAAGCGAAAGCAUGGGGAGCGAACAGG